CAACACAAUGGCACUGAUCCUCAUCAGGCCAUUCCCCAGCCUAGAAAGCACAGUGCAUGCGCUGUAUUGACUGGGUGGAUGAGCAACAUCAUAUGAUGCCAUGUGCAGAUGAAGGAUAGCAUAUAUAUGGCGUUAACUCACCUCUUUCAGGACUACAACAUGAACCAAUGAGAUGCACUCAGGCAGGUCCCUUAGGAAAAUCAUUCUCAGCUUCUAAAGUUAUAAUAAUUCUCAGCUAAAGGAAGCAUACUGAACACAGGAAUAAAUCUCCAAGAACGCCUUGGCGUGGCCACUUCAGGACCCUUUCCUGCAGUGCGUGAAGCAGAUCCAGGUGCUGCUGGACGAGGUACCGUAAAGAGCCAGGGAAGAGGCUUGAAACAGAAUAGAGACGGAAUCACACAAACAAGCAGCAGGGCCCAUUCUCCCAGCCAUCCAACAUACGGCUUUAGUUCAUCUGAAAAGGAAACCAGGAACUAGGUGGCCUCAUGUGUCCACUGAAUCUAAACGGCAAGGCUUGGACUGGAUAUCAGCCGAGAGGCAAGACUUGAGGUGAGCACACCAGAUGCUGGAGCACUCCUGGGAAGAGAAACAGAAAGAGGAGGAGGAAGGGUGCCAAAAACAAUGUCUUAUUUGGCCAUUUUUCCCUUGAC
Molecule: long non-coding RNA, 650 nt
Filed under: Homo sapiens (human)
Lineage: Eukaryota; Metazoa; Chordata; Mammalia; Primates; Hominidae
Description: HSALNT0030384
Source: RNAcentral